This 253-nucleotide ribosomal RNA is filed under the name uncultured bacterium. Its description in RNAcentral is "partial 16S ribosomal RNA". It matches the Rfam family "Bacterial small subunit ribosomal RNA", at positions 524 to 776 of the family's 1533-position model. The record is from RNAcentral.
UACGUAGGGUGCAAGCGUUGUCCGGAAUUAUUGGGCGUAAAGAGCUCGUAGGCGGUUUGUCGCGUCGGCUGUGAAAGUCCGGGGCUCAACUCCGGAUCUGCGGUGGGUACGGGCAGACUAGAGUGAUGUAGGGGAGACUGGAAUUCCUGGUGUAGCGGUGAAAUGCGCAGAUAUCAGGAGGAACACCGAUGGCGAAGGCAGGUCUCUGGGCAUUAACUGACGCUGAGGAGCGAAAGCAUGGGGAGCGAACAGG